AAAACGACUCUCGGCAACGGAUAUCUCGGCUCUCGCAUCGAUGAAGAACGUAGCGAAAUGCGAUACUUGGUGUGAAUUGCAGAAUCCCGUGAACCAUCGAGUCUUUGAACGCAAGUUGCGCCCAAAGCCUUUUGGUUGAGGGCACGUCUGCCUGG
This 155-nucleotide ribosomal RNA is filed under the name Clusia hilariana. Its description in RNAcentral is "5.8S ribosomal RNA". It matches the Rfam family "5.8S ribosomal RNA". Rfam says of the family: 5.8S ribosomal RNA (5.8S rRNA) is a component of the large subunit of the eukaryotic ribosome. It is transcribed by RNA polymerase I as part of the 45S precursor that also contains 18S and 28S rRNA. The record is from RNAcentral. Lineage: Eukaryota; Viridiplantae; Streptophyta; Magnoliopsida; Malpighiales; Clusiaceae.